This is a long non-coding RNA of Xiphophorus maculatus (southern platyfish), 352 nucleotides long. RefSeq lists it as uncharacterized. The record is from RefSeq and is a predicted model, not a curated record. The transcript has 3 exons. Lineage: Eukaryota; Metazoa; Chordata; Actinopteri; Cyprinodontiformes; Poeciliidae.
GAUGCCUGAGUGUUGCCGUUCAUGGUUCUCAGCGGCUGUUACCUUUGUGCCUUAUGAGUUUUAUCGUUUCACCUCCAAGAUUCUUCAUAAAGAAACCCCUGGUUCAUAAAUCCCUACGACUGGUUCUUCUGGCUGUUCAAGUCUGUGCUACAACCUGUCCGCCCUCCAAUGAAGUACAACUAACAAACCCUCAUCGCCGCCCAUUCUCUCUGGAUCUCCUGGCUUCAGUUCCAACCCCACCUGGACCCGGCACUCACCCUAGAAACCAAGUUCCAGCACCAGCAGAAUACCUCCCCCUGGUGGAUCAGUUCCAUUUCACUAAAUCCAGAUCUCCAGCUGUCCCAUACCCCGG